This 693-nucleotide ribosomal RNA is filed under the name Pseudomonas aeruginosa. Its description in RNAcentral is "partial 23S ribosomal RNA". It matches the Rfam family "Bacterial large subunit ribosomal RNA", at positions 2238 to 2925 of the family's 2925-position model. The record is from RNAcentral. RNAcentral also lists the same sequence under 2 other names. Lineage: Bacteria; Pseudomonadati; Pseudomonadota; Gammaproteobacteria; Pseudomonadales; Pseudomonadaceae.
AUCCGGAUCGAGGACAGUGUAUGGUGGGCAGUUUGACUGGGGCGGUCUCCUCCUAAAGAGUAACGGAGGAGUACGAAGGUGCGCUCAGACCGGUCGGAAAUCGGUCGCAGAGUAUAAAGGCAAAAGCGCGCUUGACUGCGAGACAGACACGUCGAGCAGGUACGAAAGUAGGUCUUAGUGAUCCGGUGGUUCUGUAUGGAAGGGCCAUCGCUCAACGGAUAAAAGGUACUCCGGGGAUAACAGGCUGAUACCGCCCAAGAGUUCAUAUCGACGGCGGUGUUUGGCACCUCGAUGUCGGCUCAUCACAUCCUGGGGCUGAAGCCGGUCCCAAGGGUAUGGCUGUUCGCCAUUUAAAGUGGUACGCGAGCUGGGUUUAGAACGUCGUGAGACAGUUCGGUCCCUAUCUGCCGUGGACGUUUGAGAUUUGAGAGGGGCUGCUCCUAGUACGAGAGGACCGGAGUGGACGAACCUCUGGUGUUCCGGUUGUCACGCCAGUGGCAUUGCCGGGUAGCUAUGUUCGGAAAAGAUAACCGCUGAAAGCAUCUAAGCGGGAAACUUGCCUCAAGAUGAGAUCUCACUGGGAACUUGAUUCCCCUGAAGGGCCGUCGAAGACUACGACGUUGAUAGGCUGGGUGUGUAAGCGUUGUGAGGCGUUGAGCUAACCAGUACUAAUUGCCCGUGAGGCUUGACCAU